AGAGGGAACCCGGUGGGAUUCCGGGACUGUCCCGCAGCGGUGAGCGGGAACGACCGCCGUCAUGAGCACUGGGAGCCCCCGGGAAGCGACGGCCAGUAGGUCGGCACAGCCGGAGCCCGUGAGUCCGAAGACCU
RNAcentral lists this non-coding RNA (134 nucleotides) under Nocardia donostiensis. The record is from RNAcentral. Lineage: Bacteria; Bacillati; Actinomycetota; Actinomycetes; Mycobacteriales; Nocardiaceae.